RNAcentral lists this ribosomal RNA (188 nucleotides) under Theileria equi. RNAcentral describes it as "partial small subunit ribosomal RNA". It matches the Rfam family "Eukaryotic small subunit ribosomal RNA", at positions 216 to 405 of the family's 1831-position model. The record is from RNAcentral. Lineage: Eukaryota; Apicomplexa; Aconoidasida; Piroplasmida; Theileriidae.
CUAAAACCUCCCCGCUUUUGCGGUGUUUCGGUGAUUCAUAAUAAAUUAGCGAAUCGCAUGGCUUUGCUGACGAUGUAUCAUUCAAGUUUCUGACCUAUCAGCUUUGGACGGUAGGGUAUUGGCCUACCGGGGCAACGACGGGUAACGGGGAAUUAGGGUUCGAUUCCGGAGAGGGAGCCUGAGAAACG